This 214-nucleotide ribosomal RNA is filed under the name uncultured bacterium. Its description in RNAcentral is "partial 16S ribosomal RNA". It matches the Rfam family "Bacterial small subunit ribosomal RNA", at positions 567 to 776 of the family's 1533-position model. The record is from RNAcentral.
GUGCGUAGGCGGCGCGGUAAGUCGGGUGUGAAAUCUCGGAGCUUAACUCCGAAACUGCAUUCGAUACUGCCGUGCUCGAGGACUGGAGAGGAGACUGGAAUUUACGGUGUAGCAGUGAAAUGCGUAGAUAUCGUAAGGAAGACCAGUGGCGAAGGCGGGUCUCUGGACAGUUCCUGACGCUGAGGCACGAAAGGGUCAGGGGAGGCAAAACCGG